RNAcentral lists this ribosomal RNA (473 nucleotides) under uncultured bacterium. Its description in RNAcentral is "bacterial SSU rRNA". It matches the Rfam family "Bacterial small subunit ribosomal RNA", at positions 335 to 799 of the family's 1533-position model. The record is from RNAcentral.
ACUCCUACGGGGAGGUCAGCAGUAGGGAAUAUUGGUCAAUGGGCGAAAGCCUGAACCAGCCAUGCCGCGUGUCAGAUGAAGGUCCUCUGGAUUGUAAAUGACUUUUCUACGGGAAGAAUGAGCCGUCUGCGGACGGAAGUUGACGGUACCGUAGGAAUAAGCACCGGCUAACUACGUGCCAGCAGCCGCGGUAAUACGUAGGGGUGCAAGCGUUGUCCGGAUUUACUGGGUUUAAAGGGUACGUAGGCGGUUGUGCCAAGUCUGGGGUGAAAGUUUGCAGCUCAACUGUAAAAUUGCCUUGGAUACUGGUCGGCUAGAGUAGUGGAGCGGUGGCUGGAAUUUAUAGUGUAGCGGUGAAAUGCUUAGAUACUAUGAGGAACACCAAUUGCGAAGGCAGGUCACUGGUCACUAACUGACGCUGAGGUACGAAAGUGUGGGGAUCAAACAGGAUUAGAUACCCUGGUAGGAUAGCG